UGGCUGAGCGACGUCCUGCUGGGCUGGGCGGCGGGGCUGCUGAUCAUGCUGGGGCUGCCGUGGUUCGAGCCCGUGAUCACCCGU
This 84-nucleotide transfer RNA is filed under the name Streptomyces fulvorobeus. RNAcentral describes it as "tRNA-Ser". The record is from RNAcentral. Lineage: Bacteria; Bacillati; Actinomycetota; Actinomycetes; Kitasatosporales; Streptomycetaceae.